This 430-nucleotide long non-coding RNA is filed under the name Mus musculus (house mouse). Its description in RNAcentral is "RIKEN cDNA 1700065J11 gene (1700065J11Rik)". Lineage: Eukaryota; Metazoa; Chordata; Mammalia; Rodentia; Muridae. The record is from RNAcentral.
AUAGAAGGAGAAGACGUGGAGCCUUAUGGAGGGAGUGACUGCUACCUCAAAUGGCUCCGGGUGGCAGUGGAGAGGACACAAAGGCGUUCCAGUUGCAGACCUGGAUAUUCUUCUGCUAGGACAGUGAGUCUAGUGACAUUGGAACCAGGGUGUCUGCCAAAGCCAGCUCUGUCCUUGCUGCUUCCCCACUCUCUGGUGACAGCUAGCUCUGCUUCUGUGAAACAACAGGCUACGAUAAUACACGGAGGAGAAUCUUCUCACUGUGGGAUACAAGCAACAUUGAAACAUUGAAACCUUCAAGAACAAAGCACCAAGGACAGUUAUAAGAAACCCUGGGAGCCAUGGGAGACUAUUUGCCAUAGACUCUUGAAGUUUCAGCACUGGAAAAAGUCACACGUAAAAUAAAAAAGGAAACAUCUUUACCACAAAA